GACAGGUGGUGCAUGGUUGUCGUCAGCUCGUGUCGUGAGAUGUUGGGUUAAGUCCCGCAACGAGCGCAACCCUUAAGCUUAGUUGCCAUCAUUAAGUUGGGCACUCUAAGUUGACUGCCGGUGACAAACCGGAGGAAGGUGGGGAUGACGUCAAAUCAUCAUGCCCCUUAUGAUUUGGGCUACACACGUGCUACAAUGGACAAUACAAAGGGCAGCGAAACCGCGAGGUCAAGCAAAUCCCAUAAAGUUGUUCUCAGUUCGGAUUGUAGUCUGCAACUCGACUACAUGAAGCUGGAAUCGCUAGUAAUCGUAGAUCAGCAUGCUACGGUGAAUACGUUCCCGGGUCUUGUACACACCGCCCGUCACACCACGAGAGUUUGUAACACCCGAAGCCGGUGGAGUAACCUUUUAGGAGCUAGCCGUCGAAGGUGGGACAAAUGAUUGGGGUGAAGUCGUAACAAGGUAGCCGUAUCGGAAGGUGCGGCUGGA
Molecule: ribosomal RNA, 489 nt
Filed under: Staphylococcus aureus
Lineage: Bacteria; Bacillati; Bacillota; Bacilli; Caryophanales; Staphylococcaceae
Description: bacterial SSU rRNA
Rfam family: Bacterial small subunit ribosomal RNA
Source: RNAcentral